UACGGAGGGUGCGAGCGUUGCUCGGAAUUACUGGGCGUAAAGCGCGUGUAGGCGGCCUUUUAAGUUCGGUGUGAAAGCCCGGGGCUCACCCCCGGAAGUGCAUCGAAUACUGGGAGGCUAGAGUACCGGAGAGGAGGGUGGAAUUCCUGGUGUAGCGGUGAAAUGCGUAGAUAUCAGGAGGAACACCGGUGGCGAAGGCGGCCCUCUGGACGGAUACUGACGCUGAGACGCGAAAGCGUGGGGAGCAAACAGG
RNAcentral lists this ribosomal RNA (253 nucleotides) under uncultured bacterium. Its description in RNAcentral is "partial 16S ribosomal RNA". It matches the Rfam family "Bacterial small subunit ribosomal RNA", at positions 524 to 776 of the family's 1533-position model. The record is from RNAcentral.